CCAGUUGUGGCCUAAUGGUUAAUGGCAAGUCGGACUUGCAACCCAAAGGUGAACCUGAAGGUCGCGGGUUCGAGUCUCAGGCCGGCAGGG
Non-coding RNA from Pangasius djambal, 90 nucleotides. Lineage: Eukaryota; Metazoa; Chordata; Actinopteri; Siluriformes; Pangasiidae. The record is from the annotation of a GenBank genome assembly.